GUCCUUUAGAUUUUAAUUUAAGGUCUAACCUGCCCACUGAAUUUAAUUUGAAUGGCCGCAGUAAUUUGACUGUGCAAAGGUAGCAUAAUCAUUAGUUUUUUAAUUAAAAGCUUGUAUGAAGGGUUGGACGAGGUAAAAUCUGUCUCUAUUUAAUUUAAUUUAGAAUUUAACUUUUAAGUCAAAAGGCUUAAAUUUAAUUAAAAGACGAGAAGACCCUAUAGAUCUUUAUAAUUUAUUUAUUAAAUUUAAUUAAGAAUUUUUUAAAUUUUAUUAAUGUAAUUAUUUUAUUGGGGUAAUAUAAAGAUUAUAAAAAUUCUUUUUUUUUAUUUACAUUAAUUUAUGUUUAUAUGAUCCAGUUUUAUUGAUUAUAAGAUUAAGUUACCUUAGGGAUAACAGCGUAAUUUUUUUAGAGAGUUYUUAUCGAUAAAAAAGUUUGCGACCUCGAUGUUGGAUUAAAGAUUAUUUUAGGUGUAGAAGCUUAAAAAUUUGGUCUGUUCGACCAUUAAAUCUUUACAUGAUCUGAGUUCAGACCGGCGUAAGCCAGGUCGGUUUCUAUCUUUAGUUAAUUAAAAUAUUUUAGUACGAAAGGACCAAUUAUUUAAUAUAUAUAUAUUUAAUUUUUUGAUUAUUAUUAA
RNAcentral lists this ribosomal RNA (635 nucleotides) under Nebria limbigera. RNAcentral's name for it is "partial large subunit ribosomal RNA". Lineage: Eukaryota; Metazoa; Arthropoda; Insecta; Coleoptera; Carabidae. The record is from RNAcentral.